AACGAACGCUGGCGGCAUGCCUAACACAUGCAAGUCGAACGAGACCUUCGGGUCUAGUGGCGCACGGGUGCGUAACGCGUGGGAACCUGCCCUUAGGUUCGGAAUAACUCCCCGAAAGGGGUGCUAAUACCGGAUAAUGUCUUCGGACCAAAGAUUUAUCGCGUUUGGAUGGGCCCGCGUUGGAUUAGCUAGUUGGUAGGGUAAAAGCCUACCAAGGCGACGAUCCAUAGCUGGUCGGAGAGGAUGAUCAGCCACACUGGGACUGAGACACGGCCCAGACUCCUACGGGAGGCAGCAGUGGGGAAUAUUGGACACUGGGCGAAAGCCUGAUCCAGCAAUGCCGCGUGAGUGAUGAAGGCCUUAGGGUUGUAAAGCUCUUUUACCCGGGAUGAUAAUGACAGUACCGGGAGAAUAAGCACCGGCUAACUCCGUG
RNAcentral lists this ribosomal RNA (433 nucleotides) under uncultured bacterium. RNAcentral's name for it is "partial 16S ribosomal RNA". It matches the Rfam family "Bacterial small subunit ribosomal RNA", at positions 29 to 507 of the family's 1533-position model. The record is from RNAcentral.